GAUCCUGCCGGACCUCACUGCUAUCGGGAUGAGACUAAGCCAUGCAUGUUGUGCGCCUCCAAACCACGUUGGUAGGAGCACAUGCUCAACCUGAGACUCACGUCAUAAACAUGACUAACCUGCCCUGGGGAUCAGAAUACCCACGGGAAACUGUGGAUAAUUCUGGAUGGGUGAGGGUGCCUGGAAGGGCUCCUUAUUGAAAGGGUGUGUGAGCCAUGUUCUCAUACAUUGUCCCAGGAUGGGGUCAUGUCCGAUCAGGCUGUUGGUGAGGUAAUGGCUCACCAAACCAGUAACCGGUACGGGCCGUGAGAGCGGAAGCCCGGAGAUGGAUCCUGAGACAAGGAUCCAGGCCCUACGGGGCGCAGCAGGCGCGAAACCUCCGCAAUGCGCGAAAGCGUGACGGGGUUAUCCCGAGUGUCGCCUGCUGAAGGCGACUUUUUCUCAGUCUACAAAGCUGGGGGUAAUAAGGGGAGGGCAAGUCUGGUGUCAGCCGCCGCGGUAAUACCAGCUCCCCGAGUGGUGAGGAGGAUUAUUGGGCCUAAAGCGUCCGUAGCCGGCUUAGUAAGUCUCCCGUCAAAUCCGACGAUCCAAUCGCCGGGCUGCGGGAGAUACUGCUGAGCUAGGAGGCGGGAGAGGCCGGCGGUACUUCUGGGGUAGGGGUGAAAUCCUAUAAUCCCGGAAGGACCACCAGUGGCGAAGGCGGCCGGCCAGAACGCGCCCGACGGUGAGGGACGAAAGCUGGGGGAGCGAACCGGAUUAGAUACCCGGGUAGUCCCAGCUGUAAACGAUGCGGGCUAAGUGUCGGAAUGGCUAUUGUGCCAUUUCGGUGCUGCAGGGAAGCCGUUAAGCCCGCUGGAACGCCUGGGGAGUUACGGCCGCAAGGACUGAAGGACUGGUAAAGGAAUUGGCGGGGGAGCACCACAAGGGGUGAAGCCUUGCGGUUUAAUUGGAAUGUCA
Molecule: ribosomal RNA, 957 nt
Filed under: uncultured archaeon
Lineage: Archaea
Description: bacterial SSU rRNA
Rfam family: Archaeal small subunit ribosomal RNA
Source: RNAcentral